CAGGGGCUGCAGAACUGGAGCUGGCAGCCAGCGGGGCCCUGGCAGGGUUCCAGCGACAGGCAACAGCAGUGAGAGGCAACAGGGGGCCCCCUGCAAGGUUCCAGGGACAGGAGGAGGGGAUUGCAGAGGAAGAGUGGGUGAUGACAGGAAAGAGAAGGAUUCACACUUCUACAUUCUCCCUGCCACACACAAAGGCCUGCGGAAGCAACUUGGCCACCAGGCUGCCUUGCAGAUGGAAC
This is a long non-coding RNA of Mauremys reevesii (Reeves's turtle), 239 nucleotides long. RefSeq lists it as uncharacterized. The record is from RefSeq and is a predicted model, not a curated record. Lineage: Eukaryota; Metazoa; Chordata; Testudines; Geoemydidae. The transcript has 3 exons.